UGAACGCUAUCUACAGGCUUAACACAUGCAAGUCGAGGGGCAGCAUGGUCUUAGCUUGCUAAGGCCGAUGGCGACCGGCGCACGGGUGAGUAACGCGUAUCCAACCUGCCUUACACUCUUGGACAGCCUUCUGAAAGGGAGAUUAAUACAAGAUGUUAUCAUGAGUAAGCAUUUUCGCAUGAUUAAAGGUUUACCGGUGUAAGAUGGGGAUGCGUUCCAUUAGAUAGUAGGCGGGGUAACGGCCCACCUAGUCUUCGAUGGAUAGGGGUUCUGAGAGGAAGGUCCCCCACAUUGGAACUGAGACACGGUCCAAACUCCUACGGGAGGCAGCAGUGAGGAAUAUUGGUCAAUGGACGAGAGUCUGAACCAGCCAAGUAGCGUGAAGGAUGAAGGUUCUAUGGAUUGUAAACUUCUUUUAUACGGGAAUAAACGAAUCCACGUGUGGAUUUUUGCAUGUACCGUAUGAAUAAGGAUCGGCUAACUCCGUGCCAGCAGCCGCGGUAAUACGGAGGAUCCGAGCGUUAUCCGGAUUUAUUGGGUUUAAAGGGAGCGUAGAUGGGUUGUUAAGUCAGUUGUGAAAGUUUGCGGCUCAACCGUAAAAUUGCAAUUGAUACUGGCAGUCUUGAGUACAGUUGAGGUAGGCGGAAUUCGUGGUGUAGCGGUGAAAUGCUUAGAUAUCACGAAGAACUCCGAUUGCGAAGGCAGCUUACUAACCUGUAACUGACAUUGAUGCUUGAAAGUGUGGGUAUCAAACAGGAUUAGAUACCCUGGUAGUCCACACGGUAAACGAUGAAUACUCGCUGUAGGCGAUAUACAGUCUGCGGCCAAGCGAAAGCAUUAAGUAUUCCACCUGGGGAGUACGCCGGCAACGGUGAAACUCAAAGGAAUUGACGGGGGCCCGCACAAGCGGAGGAACAUGUGGUUUAAUUCGAUGAUACGCGAGGAACCUUACCCGGGCUUAAAUUGCAACCGAAUAUGGCGGAAACGCUAUAGCUAGCAAUAGCGGUUGUGAAGGUGCUGCAUGGUUGUCGUCAGCUCGUGCCGUGAGGUGUCGGCUUAAGUGCCAUAACGAGCGCAACCCUUGCCGAUAGUUACUAACAGGUUAUGCUGAGGACUCUGUCGGGACUGCCAUCGUAAGAUGUGAGGAAGGUGGGGAUGACGUCAAAUCAGCACGGCCCUUACGUCCGGGGCUACACACGUGUUACAAUGGGGGGUACAGAGGGCUGCUACCACGCAAGUGGAUGCCAAUCCCAAAAACCUCUCUCAGUUCGGAUUGAAGUCUGCAACCCGACUUCAUGAAGCUGGAUUCGCUAGUAAUCGCGCAUCAGCCACGGCGCGGUGAAUACGUUCCCGGGCCUUGUACACACCGCCCGUCAAGCCAUGGGAGCCGGGGGUACCUGAAGUGCGUAACCGCAAGGAGCGCCCUAGGGUAAAACUGGUGACUGGG
Molecule: ribosomal RNA, 1447 nt
Filed under: uncultured organism
Description: SSU rRNA
Rfam family: Bacterial small subunit ribosomal RNA
Source: RNAcentral